UUUGCAAUGCCUUUCAGCCAUGGUGUGGUUUAUGGCAGAUUUUUCACAUUUUCUUGAUGGUUUUGAUGAGAUUGUGCAUGCCACACUGGAUAACUACGAAGCAGAUAUAAAUCUUGUAGAUGACGGUGAAAGGGGGAGCCAGAUCACAAUUGGGUUGAUGAAGCAGUUAGAUGUGAAGCAAGG
This is a long non-coding RNA of Telopea speciosissima, 183 nucleotides long. RefSeq lists it as uncharacterized. The transcript has 3 exons. The record is from RefSeq and is a predicted model, not a curated record. NCBI's taxonomy places the organism in Eukaryota, Viridiplantae, Streptophyta, Magnoliopsida, Proteales, Proteaceae.